This 421-nucleotide ribosomal RNA is filed under the name uncultured bacterium. RNAcentral's name for it is "partial 16S ribosomal RNA". It matches the Rfam family "Bacterial small subunit ribosomal RNA", at positions 360 to 773 of the family's 1533-position model. The record is from RNAcentral.
AAUUUGGGACAUGGGUGGCAACCCUGAUCCAGCCAUCCCGCGUGUUCGAUGAAGGNCUNNGGGUUNUNAAGCACUUUUGGCAGNNNNNAAAAGGCUCUGGCUAAUACCUGGAGCUGCUGACGGUACCUGCAGAAUAAGCACAGGCUAACUCCGUGCUAGCAGCCGCGGUACUACUUAGGGUGCAAGCGUUAAUCGGAAUUACUGGGCGUAAAGCGUGCGCAGGCGGUUCGGCAAGAAGGAUGUGAAAUCCCAGGGCUUAACCUUGGAACUGCAUUCUUAACUGCCGGGCUAGAGUAUGUCAGAGGGGGGUAGAAUUCCGCGUGUAGCAGUGAAAUGCGUAGAGAUGCGGAGGAAUACCGAUGGCGAAGGCAGCCCCCUGGGAUAAUACUGACGCUCAUGCACGAAAGCGUGGGGAGCAAAC